CAUUACAGACUAACUAAAGUUGAAAAAGUGAAAAAGCAUAAUAGGACCCCUUUAAAGGUUAAUUUUUCCAAAUGUGACUUGGACGCAGAUCUGUGUUAGCAAAUGUGAAUCAGAGUUUAAAGGUUAAACUUUUAGACAGAAGUAUUGCCAUUUCUAGCAACUUCUAUGUUAAACAAACAGGAUAGCAACACCUUUUCAAGGGUUUGACGUCUAUGCUUGGUGAGAGAGUGAGUAAUGCUCUCUGUAGACUAUUGUCUUUGCUUUAACACAAAAUAGCUGUGAAGAUCCAUCAUCAGUGAAAUCAAGCUUAACAAGUUAAUCAUGAUCACUAAACCUGUACCAAACCCUGAUGCUGUCAAUCAUAUAUCAUAAUGUAUCUGAAAACUGUCUGAAUACAUUAUAUAAGUUUGAUUGUCCAGAUGAUGUGCUUGUGGUGGCUUGCUUCAUGCUUCAAGUAUGGCAUGUUCCAAAGCUGCCAGUUUACUACUCUAUAUGGUCCAAAAGAGACUAACAACGCACAGUGCUCUAACUCGCACAAAGCUGAUAGUGUGUUAUUUCAAAAUUGUUUACAUGGAGAAGAUUUUUGGAGUCUAAAAGGCAAGAGGAGCGGCAAAAGCCUACCUUGCUGUAGACGUAUGUAUUUGAGCUCUGGUUUUAGCAUUAUUUAUUUCGUUUUUAUUUUCCUUGUGUCUUGCUAAAUAGUGGAGGCAUGAAAUGUUUGGGGUUGUGACUAUUCAAUGUAAUUUUAAUAGCAGUGGCAUAGUAAAUUAGUUUUAUUACCUGAAUAUGACAAUUAGACUUGAAGCUAAACCACUGUUGGCAUGUAGGAUUUCACCUGUGUUUUAACUACAGAUGCUAAAUACUUUAAAAAAAAUAAAUGUGGAACAAUCACUGGUAGUAAACUUAAUAUAUUUCCUUUACCUUAAAUGUCAACUUGGAAUCAAAA
This is a long non-coding RNA of Sinocyclocheilus grahami, 946 nucleotides long. RefSeq lists it as uncharacterized. NCBI's taxonomy places the organism in Eukaryota, Metazoa, Chordata, Actinopteri, Cypriniformes, Cyprinidae. The transcript has 2 exons. The record is from RefSeq and is a predicted model, not a curated record.